This 756-nucleotide ribosomal RNA is filed under the name uncultured organism. RNAcentral describes it as "bacterial SSU rRNA". It matches the Rfam family "Bacterial small subunit ribosomal RNA", at positions 26 to 780 of the family's 1533-position model. The record is from RNAcentral.
AGGAUGAACGCUAGCGGCAGGCCUAAUACAUGCAAGCCGAACGGUAACAGGUUCUUCGGAACGCUGACGAGUGGCGGACGGGUGCGUAACGCGUAUGCAACUUGCCCACUACUGGGAAAUAGCCCGGGGAAACUCGGAUUAAUGUCCCAUAAUGCAGGGGAUUCGCAUGGAUCUAUUGUUAAAGAUUUAUUGGUAGUGGAUGGGCAUGCGUAGGAUUAGCUAGUUGGUAGUGUAAUGGACUACCAAGGCUACGAUCCUUAGGGGGUCUGAGAGGAUGAUCCCCCACACUGGUACUGAGAUACGGACCAGACUCCUACGGGAGGCAGCAGUAGGGAAUAUUGGGCAAUGGGUGAGAGCCUGACCCAGCCAUGCCGCGUGCAGGAAGACGGCCCUCAGGGUUGUAAACUGCUUUUCUACGGGAAGAAAGAGGUUGUGCGCAACCAGUUGACGGUACCGUAGGAAUAAGCACCGGCUAACUCCGUGCCAGCAGCCGCGGUAAUACGGAGGGUGCAAGCGUUGUCCGGAUUUAUUGGGUUUAAAGGGUACGUAGGCGGGCGUCUAAGUCAGUGGUGAAAGCCUACCGCUUAACGGUGGAAUUGCCAUUGAUACUGGAUGUCUUGAGUAUAGUAGAGGUGGGCGGAAUUCAUGGUGUAGCGGUGAAAUGCAUAGAUACCAUGAGGAACACCGAUAGGGAAGCCAGCUCACUAGACUAUUACUGACGCUCAGGUACGAAAGCGUGGGGAGCGAACAGGAUUA